This 253-nucleotide ribosomal RNA is filed under the name uncultured bacterium. RNAcentral's name for it is "partial 16S ribosomal RNA". It matches the Rfam family "Bacterial small subunit ribosomal RNA", at positions 524 to 776 of the family's 1533-position model. The record is from RNAcentral.
UACGUAGGGUCCGAGCGUUGUCCGGAAUUACUGGGUGUAAAGAGCUCGUAGGUGGUUUGUCGCGUUGUUCGUGAAAACUCACAGCUCAACUGUGGGCGUGCGGGCGAUACGGGCAGACUGGAGUACUGCAGGGGAGACUGGAAUUCCUGGUGUAGCGGUGGAAUGCGCAGAUAUCAGGAGGAACACCGGUGGCGAAGGCGGGUCUCUGGGCAGUAACUGACGCUGAGGAGCGAAAGCGUGGGGAGCGAACAGG